GAUUAUGGCUCAGGACGAACGCUGGCGGCGUGCCUAACACAUGCAAGUCGAACGGAGUUGAGGAGCUUGCUCCUUAGCUUAGUGGCGGACGGGUGAGUAACGCGUGAGUAACCUGCCUCUGAGAGUGGAAUAACGUUUUUGAAAAGAACGCUAAUACCGCAUAACAUAUAACUGCCGCAUGACAGAUAUAUCAAAGAUUUUAUCGCUCGGAGAUGGACUCGCGUCCGAUUAGUUAGUUGGUGAGGUAACGGCUCACCAAGACCGCGAUCGGUAGCCGGACUGAGAGGUUGAACGGCCACAUUGGGACUGAGACACGGCCCGGACUCCUACGGGAGGCAGCAGUGGGGGAUAUUGCGCAAUGGGGGCAACCCUGACGCAGCAACGCCGCGUGAAGGAUGAAGGUUUUCGGAUUGUAAACUUCUUUUAUUAAGGGCGAAAAAUGACGGUACUUAAUGAAUAAGCUCCGGCUAACUACGUGCCAGCAGCAGC
This 489-nucleotide ribosomal RNA is filed under the name uncultured bacterium. RNAcentral's name for it is "bacterial SSU rRNA". It matches the Rfam family "Bacterial small subunit ribosomal RNA", at positions 15 to 518 of the family's 1533-position model. The record is from RNAcentral.